CUCAGGGGAAGGCUGUCGAAGAAACAAAGAAAACAGAAUCAAUCCGAAAGCGGUCGAUCGGCGAACCAUGAAACGCAGCCACUAUUUUAUCGUGGCGUUUAACACGAUCCAUUAUGUAUCUUGUGGAGAGAGGGCGGGCAGAGGUGAACAGCCUCCGUUGUGGUAGCCGGUUGAUUCCUCGCUUAAGCAGAUAUGAUUGAGGACCGCCAUAGAGACGAUCAAUGAGCAACUAAGUAUAGUCAGCUGGUGAAGGCGAACGUUCAAUCAGACCACGGUGUACACGGCCUCCUACACCGAAACCACUUUAAUUCGAUUGAAUCUGCACCAAUUGCAUACCGAUCAACGACGACAAAGCGUUAAUAAAAUAUUAGGCAUUAAAGCUAAAAUGUUACGGCUAUGAUACCUGUGGAACAAUUACGCCCGAAUCCGAGCAAUGCCAGGAAUCUCUUUCAUCGUCCCGGUUUGCGACGACGUGGAGGAAUUAAAGAGCACGUUUGAUUCCCGUUCACCUACGCGAGUUGGCCGUGUUACGUAAGCUCGUUGCACAGAGAGAGGAGACAAAUACCAUAAGUCAGCGUUACCAUAGCGCAAACACACCGCUAAUGGCAUGCCGAGAUGGUGGGUGGUGGAAGGUUUUUCGGCUCUUUGCAAACCUGUCGGCGGCGGCACCAAAGGGCACCGGAAGACGCGGGAAGCAACGCGUGGGUGGACAUGUGAAAAGAGAUCGGCCGAGUCACGGAACUUCAUGACCCAUUUGGAGAUCCCGUCUUAUUUGUUUUGUUUUUUCUUUUUCUUUUUUUUGGUUUUU
This is a long non-coding RNA of Apis florea (little honeybee), 808 nucleotides long. The record is from RefSeq and is a predicted model, not a curated record. NCBI's taxonomy places the organism in Eukaryota, Metazoa, Arthropoda, Insecta, Hymenoptera, Apidae.